RNAcentral lists this ribosomal RNA (468 nucleotides) under uncultured bacterium. Its description in RNAcentral is "partial 16S ribosomal RNA". It matches the Rfam family "Bacterial small subunit ribosomal RNA", at positions 28 to 507 of the family's 1533-position model. The record is from RNAcentral.
GACGAACGCUGGCGGCGUGCUUAACACAUGCAAGUCGAACGGAAAGGCCCUGCUUUUGUGGGGUGCUCGAGUGGCGAACGGGUGAGUAACACGUGAGUAACCUGCCCCUGACUUUGGGAUAACUUCAGGGAACUGGGGCUAAUACCGGAUAGGAGCUCCUGCUGCAUGGUGGGGGUUGGAAAGAUUCGGCGGUUGGGGAUGGACUCGCGGUCUAUCAGCUUGUUGGUGGGGUAGUGGCUUACCAAGGCUUUGACGGGUAGCCGGCCUGAGAGGGUGACCGGCCACAUUGGGACUGAGAUACGGCCCAGACUGCUACGGGAGGCAGCAGUGGGGAAUAGUGCACAAUGGGCGGAAGCCUGAUGCAGCAACGCCGCGUGCGGGAUGACGGCCUUCGGGUUGUAAACCGCUUUCGCCUGUGACGAAGCGUGAGUGACGGUAAUGGGUAAAGAAGCAACGGCUAACUACGUG